GCUCUGGUGGUGGAAUUGGUAGACACGCUAUCUUGAGGGGGUAGUGACCACAGGUCGUGCGAGUUCAAGUCUCGCCUAGAGCACCA
This 86-nucleotide transfer RNA is filed under the name Haemophilus influenzae. Its description in RNAcentral is "tRNA-Leu". It matches the Rfam family "tRNA". Rfam says of the family: Transfer RNA (tRNA) molecules are approximately 80 nucleotides in length. The record is from RNAcentral. Lineage: Bacteria; Pseudomonadati; Pseudomonadota; Gammaproteobacteria; Pasteurellales; Pasteurellaceae. RNAcentral also lists the same sequence under 3 other names.